This is a non-coding RNA of Caenorhabditis elegans, 121 nucleotides long. The record is from Ensembl. NCBI's taxonomy places the organism in Eukaryota, Metazoa, Nematoda, Chromadorea, Rhabditida, Rhabditidae.
ACGACGCACUUUGCUGACGUAGAAAAAGAAACAGACAUGCUCCCGGAACUGGCAAGAAGAUACACAGCUUCAAAGUUCUAUGCUCGUCUAUCUAGUUUGAAAUAUUUCAUUUCGUAGGCAC